UGAACGCUGGCGGCGUGCCUAAUACAUGCAAGUCGAGCGAACAGACGAGGAGCUUGCUCCUCUGACGUUAGCGGCGGACGGGUGAGUAACACGUGGAUAACCUACCUAUAAGACUGGGAUAACUUCGGGAAACCGGAGCUAAUGCCGGAUAAUAUAUUGAACCGCAUGGUUCAAUAGUGAAAGACGGUUUUGCUGUCACUUAUAGAUGGAUCCGCGCCGCAUUAGCUAGUUGGUAAGGUAACGGCUUACCAAGGCAACGAUGCGUAGCCGACCUGAGAGGGUGAUCGGCCACACUGGAACUGAGACACGGUCCAGACUCCUACGGGAGGCAGCAGUAGGGAAUCUUCCGCAAUGGGCGAAAGCCUGACGGAGCAACGCCGCGUGAGUGAUGAAGGUCUUCGGAUCGUAAAACUCUGUUAUUAGGGAAGAACAAAUGUGUAAGUAACUAUGCACGUCUUGACGGUACCUAAUCAGAAAGCCACGUCUAACUACGUG
RNAcentral lists this ribosomal RNA (495 nucleotides) under uncultured bacterium. RNAcentral describes it as "partial 16S ribosomal RNA". It matches the Rfam family "Bacterial small subunit ribosomal RNA", at positions 30 to 507 of the family's 1533-position model. The record is from RNAcentral.